AGGUCAGGAUGGAGUGUUAUGCU
This 23-nucleotide microRNA is filed under the name Branchiostoma belcheri (Belcher's lancelet). Its description in RNAcentral is "bbe-miR-92d-5p". Its record names the gene bbe-miR-92d-5p. The record is from miRBase by way of RNAcentral. Lineage: Eukaryota; Metazoa; Chordata; Leptocardii; Amphioxiformes; Branchiostomatidae.